AGCUUUGCGCAGUGGCAGUAUCGUAGCCAAUGGGGUUUAUCCGAGGCGCGAUUAUUGCUAAUUGAAAACUAUUAUGGGGACGUGGUCACGCUUCCCUUGCUUCCGUUAUUACAUACCAAAGAAAGUCUGGAACAAACAGACAGCAAAGCUUUAGUGAGUGAAAAAUUUUUUUCGCGUUACCAAAAGC
Molecule: small nuclear RNA, 187 nt
Gene: U4
Rfam family: U4 spliceosomal RNA
About the family: U4 small nuclear RNA (U4 snRNA) is a component of the major U2-dependent spliceosome. The structure of U4 snRNA from yeast and human has been reported.
Source: Ensembl